Molecule: non-coding RNA, 28 nt
Filed under: Homo sapiens (human)
Lineage: Eukaryota; Metazoa; Chordata; Mammalia; Primates; Hominidae
Source: RNAcentral
UGGGCAAUUUAUAAAGAAAAAAGAGGUU